Lagopus leucura (white-tailed ptarmigan) is the source of this 7291-nucleotide long non-coding RNA. RefSeq lists it as uncharacterized. The transcript is spliced from 3 exons. The record is from RefSeq and is a predicted model, not a curated record. NCBI's taxonomy places the organism in Eukaryota, Metazoa, Chordata, Aves, Galliformes, Phasianidae.
UGGGCUCUGGGGGUGUAAUUUGGGGGCUGUGUUUGUUUUGGGUGCCCCGUAGGACUGUAGUGAGCUGCAUGAAGAUGUCCUGUGGGGCUGUACUGGAGCGUUGGGGUUGUAGGACCUGAAGUGGGAUGUAAUUUGGGGUUGUAGUGGUGUGAGGCUAUGCCUAUGGGGCUGUGGGACUGUGAAGCCCUGUGGGGUUGCAUUGGGUAGUGGACACUGUAGAGACUGGGAUAGGACAUAGUUUGUGUCUGCAAGGCUGUACAGGGGGGAUAGGACAUAGAUUGUGUCUGCAAGGCUGUACAGAAACUGGGGGAUCCAUCCCAAGUGGCUUUAGGGGGAUGCCCUGCAGGGCUGCAGUGGAUUGUAGGGUCAAGGGGAUGCUCCACGAGCUGUGUGGGGAAGGGGCUGAAGCAAAACCCAAGCAUGAUGUGACUUCGUCCAGCUCCUGCGCUGAUCCCUGUUGAAAGCAAGUGAGAGUGCUGCAACAAAAUCUGGCUGAGGAUGAAACAUUCUUGCAGCAGCCUUGGAGGCUAAACCUCAGCUGAGGAGGAACAAAAGUGAGGAGGAACAGCAAGUGCUUUGUCUCAAGACCCUUUUUUGGGACCUGAGGGAAUAGUGCUUCUACUGCAGCAGCACAGCAAAAACUUGCAUGUGAGGUACCAUAUUCCACAGCUCUACCUUUGCUGCUGCACUAACAAGGUUUUUUGAAGUUUGAGUUCUUAAUGUGGCAUUUAAAAUUUCACUUACCCAAAGCAUCCGUUUUUUUGUUAUUUUUUUCUUUUUCUUUUUUUUUUUCCCCCUGCGAUUUACCACAAGAAUAUUAAAGGAAAUAGUUUACUGUGGAUCUUGCUAAUAAUAUACUCCCUCCACCAGGAGAAAAUAUUCUACCUUGGCAUUUGGAGCCUCACUAACAAGCAGCCAGAGAGGAGCGAUGCCAUAUAAAACUGUAACCUCUAAAUAUGAAAUUUUGGAGAUCGCAACGAGCGGUGAGUGCCAGCUCCAUGCCGGCAGCAGGGAGGAGGCAGAGGGAACGCCAUCAGCUCGCUACUCGCUGCUGCACAGAGCACAUAACCCCAGGAGUUUCUCUGCCCGAUGUCCUGUUACCACUUGAAUCAAGAUGUGAAUGCCAAGCCAGCUUAUUUUUAGCAUGAUUUGGACCUAAAGAAGCAAACGCUGGUGAAAUACAUAGUACUGACAGCUCUGGAAAAUCUUUAUUCAUCUGCAGCACAGGAAGCAGGGAAGGAUGCAAGAAAGCAAAGCAAUCCCAAGCUACAAACGAAGUUUCCCUAGCACUGCACAGAUCCUGGCAGUAGCUGGGAGAGGGUUUUUCCACGCUAAGAGCAGGCCUGGCACGGCAGGGAGGAGUGCGGUGUGCCGCAGAUUUGGACAGCCUGCAAGCCUCCAGCUGAGCUGACUGCGUCUGUUGGAGCUCAACUGCAGCAGCAGCGGGGCUGUAAAAAUGGGAGAGACUCGGAAAACUUGAGUAUCUGAGCCCUGCUCUGCUAAGCUCUGUGAGUUUACUGUGUUAAUACAACAUUGGCUCUGUGCAACUGGGCGGUCCAAUGGUACUGAUGCUGCCCUGUACCACCUCUAGUAGUCACUCAGACCCUCUGCUCUGUGGAACAACCCAAAAAGAGGACACUUAUGACACAACCAUCAUGCCAAGCAGGCAUGUUCCUAGCCCCGUCUCUUGGGACAUUGCUGAAAUCCUCCAGUGCCUUUAGGCAUCUGCAGGACCUGAGCUGGCUGGGGACUUGUAGAUCCCUGCAGGCAGCAGUUGGCUGGAGUGGAGAUGGGGCCAUGAAGGGGAGCAGAGUAGCAAAAAUGGGUCCCUUUGGCUUUUGGGGCACAGCUAGGAGGUCCCUGGAUGUGUGCCGGGAACAGUAGCUGGGGUUGUUGAAGGUGGACCACAGGAGAUGUCCCUGCAUUUCUCUGCCAGGAGGAUGCACGCACAGUGUUAACACGCUUGUCAUCAGUAGAUCUGAAAUCUAACCACGGACAGCUCAGGGAUCUGACAAUUGUUUGUGUCUGCCUCGAGACAAAUAUCUCAUUGCCCCCUUUGCAAAUUUGCUCCUCUGCUGCGUGUGUGUUUCGAGUUUCCUCAUGCAAAACCUGCGUGGGUGUUUGGAUAUGUAAUGAGCACAUAGUUCAGGAUGAAAACAAGUUGCCUGGAAGAGCCAAGUAACGCCAAAAAAAUGAAAGCAAUACAAACAACAACAUGGCACACAGCCAUACCAGCUAGACCGUGGGCCAGCCGGAUCUCACGUACUCUCCGGAGCUGCAGAGCCGAUCAGCUGUUGGAAAAAGAGACCUUUAAAGACAAGUGAGAGGAAAUAGCAUUGGCAGUGCAGGUCACAGCAUGUUUCCUUCCAAAGCAGGACAGAGCCAAGGACAUGAGGCAGAGCUGUAACAUUCGGGGUCUCAUUGCUCAGCAAGUCAAAAACCUCCAGUGGGUUGUAGUUGUGUAAGCGCCUAUUGUUUUCUGAGCAGAAUCAGAGCACUGGUCUGAUUGGGUAUUGUCACAACAGAUUUUGGCAAUGCUUGCUCACCUAAGUGAGCUCCCUCUGCAAAACGAAGCCCUGGGUUUAACUCAGUGCUCCGUGUUGGGGAAAUAAACCUGCCUCUCUGACUGGAGAGUAUCUUCCAACACGUCCCAUAGCAACUUUGAGGAAAAGCACCAUUAGCCUAUGGACCAGAGCAAUUCCAAAAAAUUCCCUGAAGUGGCCUCACUAAUUAUUAUCUCAUUUUGGUAACGUGAAUGAGGAAAAAAUAGUGGUGAAGUUGUUUUGAAUUGCAUUUUCUGCAGAGCCUGAAUGAAUUUCUGUAUAGAAAGGGGGGUGAGAGCAGGCCUCAAAGACAGGUUACGUAAUUUUUCCCUUGCCCUCAUCCAUUUGGAGCAAGGGACCAUCUGUACCUCCUUAUAACACAGAGAAACAGUACUUCUUUCAGCCUAAGAAAAUAGGUCUAGUUGUGUAGACUCUGAGCUAAGCAUCUGCUCUAGCCCAUUCACUUAAAUACCUGUCUGAGAACUCUUCACCAGCUCUUAGAGCACCUGUUUAUUGGUUAAAGGCUCGAAUCAGUGAAAGCUCACUGGCAAUCUGGAAGGUUGAAAGGGGCCUUAAAUACCAGAGCUUCCAUAUGCAUAUUGGCAUUUUUCUUUGCAUAAAUGCCAGCUUUAAAAGGCUUGUUUUACAAAGCACAAACACAGUUCUAUGAUGAUUUUUUUUAUUUUUUUUUUACAUCAAGGUCAGUAACUCGGCUUCAUUCAUCAGUCUCCAGCUGCAAACAUGUCCCAGACAAUGGAGGAGAGUGUAUGUGAGCCAGGAAGUGCCGUUUAAGGGGAUGUGAGUGGCUCUGAACUGCACUGGGGAAAGAGGAUCUUGGUACCCUUGUGCACUUGGCCCUUCACGAACUGAAAUAGGGCGCUUGAGGGCAGGAAAAGCUGCUUAGGUGGCACAAAUAACACUCGCAUUUGGUGAGCUUCAGUAAAAGGCACCUCUCAAAUGUCACCGCUGUGCUGUCGACUCUGGUGUGAUGCAGCCAACAUUGUGCUCCUCUCCACAAAGGCAGUGAGCGCUCUUAGGAAGCAGACAAGAUAAUCCCAGCUAAAAAUACUUAUUCUUCCCCUGGGAGGUGCAUGCAUCCUGUGCACGGUGCUCUCACGGGGACGUGCUUGCACACCCAGUGCACUCUGCUCAUCUUUCACUUCCGUGCUUCUCCUCCUUCCAAGUGAAGUGCUUGGGCAUUGUGAUUAGUGCUCUGAAUCACCCAGAGAGGAUGCUCCGUCCUGUGUUUCAGAUGCAAAAUGUGCCUUGGAAUUCAAUUGUUGCUAUAGUGCUGUAAUUACACGUUUUAUGGAGUAGUUAGUCAGAAUGGCUAGAGCUCUUGUUAUUAGGCUUGGACUCCUUCUGCUUUAUUUUAAAGACCUCUCUGAUAAACAUCUACUCUCUGCAUUAAAAAAUUUUUUUCAGCUUUUGUGUCCCUUCAAACGUAGCCACAAUUCAUGGCUGAAGGAAAAUAGGUCCCCAGCCAUGUGGAGGGACAGAGUUUGUAGCAUGCUUUUUGCAACAUAGGGGUUGUGGUGCUCUGGCACUGGGUGCUCCAAAAUGUUCCUCAAAGUCAGCUGCAAUGACACCAGCUGAGUACUUCCAGGAUUCGGGAGUUCUUGAGCACUGAUCUCAGCGACUUUGCUGUCUGUGGUUUGGAGAGGACUUGCACAGCCUGCUCAGGGCACCCAUACCAACCAGGAUCCUCUUCUUCCCUUCAGCAGUAUGGAGGAAGUGGACUCUUCGGAUGCUUCUUCUAGAAGAUGGCAGCCUACCACAAUGGGACACGGUUUGAUCCAGGAGUUUUCAGCAUGUUGUAGAGAAGCGUUUCUGUUCCCUGGGAAAACAGGAUAGCUACAUACCCAGCAGGUGGCUUCACUUCUCAGCACACUCAGCUUCUCCUGCUCCAUAGGAAGCUGUUUCCCAGGAGCCGCAUAUGGGCAUGGACUGGUUCAUGAGCCUAUUCAGAUACUGCUUGUUUCUGUGGCUUGGUGAUUUUGCAGUCUGCUUCUUAGGAAGAGGAAGGAGACAAAAGCCCUGUGACUGCUGAAGGCUUGAGACAGAUUCAUGCUUAUGAGCAGUCAUCCAUGUGGAUUUGGCAGCCAGAGCUCAGAGGCUUGUGGGCUGCCUGAGUGCCAUCCCUGCUACUUUGCCAACCUGCUGCCACAUGCAUAGACUGACUGAGGGGCUCAGGAAUCUCUCCACAUAGCUGAGAAAGAGGAGAAGAGGGACAGGAGAGUGACCCAAGUCAUUAUGUCCUUCAGCACGGGCACCUCGAAUUGCCCAGUCCAGAUUUGCUCAGUGUGUGUUGGAGGAGGGCAAGAUCCUUCUUUGUCAAAAGAAGCAUUGCAAAUCUCAAAAUGGAAGAAGCCUAAGAGCAUGCUGGAUAUGGAUACGACCCUACAUGUAGCCCAGCAAGGGCUUUGCUUAUGGUUCACAACUCUCCUGCGUGCUUUUGGAGCACUUACAACAGCCAGCUUGCAGCCCUGCCCCUUCCCAGGAGUAUGCAGCUCCAAGGAGAAAAAUAACUAACUUCUUGGAAAAGAAUACAGCAAGCAAAAAAUGUGAGUCAAGACAGAUUUGCAAGGGAAAAGGAAAGGUGGUAUGAAGAAUAACAACAAAACACUGAUUGAUACUACAGAGAAGUUUCAGGGAGGUGAAAGGUUUGCAAAAAUGCCAGCUUGGGAAGUAUUAGAGAGACAGGUCUAUCUGUGGAAUACGAGAGCCAGAUGUAUACCUCUUCUGCCUGAAAUCAUCUAGGCAAAGCCAAAGGGGGUAGCCACAAAAUGCACAGCUCAGAAAGUGGCUGGGUAACAUCAGGAACCAAUUGAGGUCUUGGGCAUGGGUGGACUGGAGGUGCCAAGCCUGCUCACAGAUACUGCUCGGAUGGGUGUCAUGUCAAGAAUGAUUCAAGCCACCCACAGCUCCUGCCCGCUUAGACCUUGGCUUCCCGUGCUGCCUGCAAGAAGCAGUCACGUCUCCUUGUGUAGGCAUCUAGAGUACACAGCAAAGCAAAACCAGCUGAAGAUGAAGUAAAGAUAAUUCCAAAAAAAAGAUUGGAUGUAUUAAGCAAGAAUAGCAUGUCCUCCAGAUUGUUGAAAGAGGAAAAGAAGCAACAGUGGUGACCUUUUAUAAGUCAUGGAAAACGAAGGAGAUAGCCGGGUUCUUGGGAAAGAGGUCAGGAAAUGGAAGGCAGAGCAAUGGAAAUUUCUACCUGGCAACACUGACUUUGGUCCCAAAUACAGCAAAGGAAAAGGCAGGACGUGACAUAAAUCUCUGACUGUCUAAAGGAUGAAAGAAUAAUGAAUGUUUAUCCACAGGGCUAUAAAAAACAUGAAGAUGGAGAGAUUUUUUAUCAGUCUAUGAAAUGAGUGGUUGUGAGAAUACAGUGGAGGCAAUAUUUCGUCUCAUUUGUGAAGAAUUUGAUGCACUGUCUCAACACAGCACUUUUCUAAAAUUAAUUUGGCUUGAAUUUAAACAUCACGCACGCUGAACAUCGCAAUUUAAAGGUCCUCUCAGAUGGCCAUAUGAUAUCUUCCUCCUGGAUAAAGUGGAAGUGUUAAUGACCCCAUCCCUCUGUUGAAGCCUUCUUUCUGCAGACACAAAACCGCUGCAUUCAUCUGCCUCCGCCAACCACAGUGCAGAUAAGACUCAGCAAAACACCGCAUCCUCCAGGACGGAGGCGGGGAAGUGAGAAAGCCAGCAAGUGAGUCAUCAAGCCUUACGGGCAAAAUCUGCCUGGUAUUUGUGGUGUGCAAGAGAAUAGCCAUGCGAGGGGCUUUAAGCUCACACUGGUCCUGCAGGGCCACUUGACUCUGUCCAGGGAUCACUGUGUGUCAUCAUUCAUCAUCAAGAACUUAAAGUCUACUCUAACCCCCAGUACGUCCUUGUCUCCCUCUCUUCUUCUGCAGUGUGGUAGUUCCAGGAGCCAUCUCUGCUGGCUUUCUAUCACUGAAGUCUUCUGAGAGGAGAGAGCAUUGGUUUGUGGCUGAAAUCCUAAGCAUGUAAAUGUAGGCCAUGAUGCAAGAGAAACUGGCUUUCCAACUGUGCAUGGCAAGAAUGCCCCCUCAUUAAGGGAUCAAAGUGCUAUCCAUCGAGACCGCCUCUUGCAACAUGCUGAAGACCUGAUUAUGGUCAUUUUUCUCCCUGCUUCUACUGCAUGCCUGAGAAAGGGACACGGUAAUUAAAGUUUGAAUCUCAUUAAAUCUCAGAAAGUGCUUGGCUUUCUGAGAAUCCAAUUAUCACAAAUGCUAUGUAACGCCAGUCAGGGCACAGUUUGUUUUUGGAGUUUGAAAUUAUUCUUGUUAAACAUACAAAUAUGGUAUGAAAUCAAAAUUUGUAGAGUAUGUUGAAAAUCCAAAGAAGGUGCAGCUAAAAAAAAAAAUCAAUUUAAGGGCAGAAAAAAAUACCUUGGAGAGGGAAGGAAAUGCUGCAAGAGCUUCACUCACCAGUAAGAGAAGGGACAGAGCAGGGAAGCCUGAGCAGCAGGAAUUACCCUCAUUGAGCCCAAGGGCUUCCAAGGAUACCGUGCCUGGGUCUGGAUGAGCACCCCAUCAAGAUAACAAGCUCUAGCUCCUGGAUGGUGACCUGAGGCAUAAGGCCAGAUGAGCAAUGAACUGUCAUGGCUUAACCAAAGGAGUGGCCAAGCUCUGGAACAUGCUGCCUAAGAGGGUGGUUGAGUCCCUGGAGGCAUUCAGGAAUGUUUAGAUGUUGUACUAAGGGACAUGGUGUAAUGAGGAAAUGGUGGU